CCAGAUGUGGUGCAGGCAAUGU
RNAcentral lists this microRNA (22 nucleotides) under Hyalella azteca. Its description in RNAcentral is "miR-4066". Lineage: Eukaryota; Metazoa; Arthropoda; Malacostraca; Amphipoda; Hyalellidae. The record is from RNAcentral.